CUCCAAGAGACCUGCUUCAAAAGUCCAGACCCAAUGAAGUCACUCAUGACCUCACAAACCUCUAGUUUAACUCUUUAAGAGCCAGACAGCAAGCUGACAGCAGGCAGAAAAGGCAACUGUCUAAGCUUACUUGGAGUGGUUGCCGUUUAAGGGAAAGGAGACAUUUGUCCAGCACUGUUCAAAACAAAUUGUGUUUUUUCUGCUCGUGGAUGUGAAAAUAUUUAUUGUCCUGUUGGUUGUCCAAAGCCUGCUUCAGACACAUUCAGAGACCAGUAGAAUACCUGCAAAUAGAGCGUCAGGCACAGGCAUAAGAAACAGCAUAUGAGGAAUUCUUCCUAAGCGGACAAACAAUACAGAUAGAGAAAAACUGAGGAAGAAAGAGAAUAAUUUCCAAACACUACAUUCCAUUUGAGAAGGAGGAGAAAGAAAUAAGAGCAAGG
This is a long non-coding RNA of Symphalangus syndactylus (siamang), 440 nucleotides long. RefSeq lists it as uncharacterized. Lineage: Eukaryota; Metazoa; Chordata; Mammalia; Primates; Hylobatidae. The record is from RefSeq and is a predicted model, not a curated record.